AUCUGGGGAUUUUUUUCGCUAGCUAAAGCUAAAAUCUCUUUUUUUCCAGGUCACAACGUUUUGUGUCCUUGGAUUCCUGUCUGAAGAAGGAUCCUUCAGAGAGAGGGAGUGCUGAAGAACUCCUGCAGCACCCAUUCAUCACCCAACUGACACCUAAGAAGAUCAUCAGGGCUGAGAUUGGAGAACAUCUCCGGACUCUGCAGAACCGGCCGGCCAAAAAAAGGACUGAAGGGAGUAGCUCUCUGGACCCUGAAGCUGCGGCGUGCUUGUGACUUCUGCACACAGACAUCGGCAGAACAAGAAGCAGCUCUGCAAGUGGCCCUGGAGGGCUUCUCCUGUUAUUGAUCUUGUGGCCAAUAACAUCAACAGCCCAGAAUGAGUUUCCUGAAUCACAGCCUAGGAAAAAGAAACAUCCACAGGAUCCAGUGGCGUCUGCAGCUCCACCAGCAACAUCUCCUUUCAAGCUGAUGCAAGUAGUAACAUCAAGAUUCCUGCAACUACACCAGCAGAGACUUUAUCUCCAUGAUCAUAUUCUUUUCAGACUACCACAUCUCCACCAGUGGUGUAUUUGCUCCAGUUUACAUCACUCCACCCACACACAUUUCCAACUGCCAUAGUCCAUCUUCCUUUUUUUGUAGACUACGACAACUCCAACAUCUUGCCUUAAACAUCUACAAUUCCCAGAACCAUAGCAACAACAUUCCUAUCCACCUCUACAGCUCGACUAGCAGCAUUCACUUAUCAAACACCAUAGCUCCACUAUUAGGACUUUAGUUUGCAUUAGUAUCCAAUUAUCACAUCUCCACCCAAGGACUUUCCAUUUAACUUUAGCUCCACCACCAGCCCUUAUCCCAUAUUUUAGCUCUACCCGCAAGCUCUGUCCUUUUGCUAACACACCUCCACCAAUAUCUUCUUUUAUCUAGCUAUCAUCAAGAGUUUCUCCUCUUUAAAAUAUCUUUUAGUCCUUGCCCUUCUUCCUGCACCUCCAUUGGUUCUUCCAUUCCACCAAUACCAAGACAUUUAGUCACACCACACAGCACACACUAAAAUGAUGCCCCCUACACAGAGGCUUCUCUUCUCCACUUUUUUCUUUUGCCCCUCUAACACCAAUUCCCCAGUGGUUUCUCCUGUUCAAAUUCUUUCCUUUCUAAAUUCUAUCCUUUCAAGCCUUCCACUCAACAACCAGUCACAUCUCCUACUCUAAACCCUGACAUAAACUCUUAGUACUGAUACUGACAUAAACUCAUAGUACAAGUUGAUCCAGGGACUUGUCCGAUUGCCCAUUGGGAGUCAGGAAGGAAUUUUUCCCCCUCUGAGGCAAAUUGGCUCUGGCUUCAGAUGGGGUUUUUGCCUUCCUCUGGAUCAACUACUAAAUAGGAAAAUCCCUUUUACACUAAAACUUGAACCUAAUGGAUGUGAGUCAUUCCCAAAUUAAAUUAGUAUGAAUUAAUCUAAAAUGCAUAAAUAUAACAUCCAAUUUAUAAAUAAAUAUGUUAAUACA
Molecule: long non-coding RNA, 1501 nt
Organism: Xenopus laevis (African clawed frog)
Lineage: Eukaryota; Metazoa; Chordata; Amphibia; Anura; Pipidae
Exons: 3
Source: RefSeq, a predicted model, not a curated record